This is a long non-coding RNA of Erinaceus europaeus (western European hedgehog), 392 nucleotides long. RefSeq lists it as uncharacterized. The record is from RefSeq and is a predicted model, not a curated record. The transcript is spliced from 3 exons. Lineage: Eukaryota; Metazoa; Chordata; Mammalia; Eulipotyphla; Erinaceidae.
GAAGUGGGCAUGGCAGUGGCAUACGGGGAACCUGGGGUUCAACGCCCCACUCCCCAGUCAGUCCAGGUGGUCAGCCCCAGCCCAGACUCCAGGACUGGGAUUUGAACUCAGGGCUUCCCACAUGAAAGCAGGCCCUAGCCUUGACUGGAGCAGGAGUCCAUUUGCAAGAUACCCUGGAGGAAUUGCUUUAGAAGGAAGCAGAGGUGGUAAGUGUGUCCUACAAACCUGUACUUGCCAGACGGUGCCCUGUGCAUGCCCUUGGCGGAAAGCGCCUUGGAAACCCCAGGAUGACUGGCCCCGCUUCCUCCCCUCACCGCAUCCUGGAGCUCACGGCCAGCAGGUGCAGAGGGGCAGUCUCUGUUGACCACCUCGCCAAGGGCACAGGAGGCUGC